CUCUCUCUCUCUCUCUAUCUCUCUCUCUCUGGAGUCUGAAGUCUGAAAGUCUGAAGAGUCAAGGUAUUAAGAGCUUGAAAGACACCGAACUCAAGAGUAAACCCAAAGUCUCAGACGAAAGAGAAGAGAAAAAGGAAGUAAUAGAAAGAAAAAAGAGAGCUUCUGCGGUCUCUUUUUUUUUCUGAAACCGCCAUGAAUGGCGAGCGAGGAGGUGAUAAUAAAGCUGUGAAAAUGGAGGAAGCAAAACAAUCUUUGGUGUUCAUGUGUGGUUACCUUCCCGGAGCAUCACCACAGCGGUCGCCUUUGAUUUCUCCUGUCCUCGUGCGGUUACCGCCUUCAAUAAGUUCUGGAGAUUCAUGGAAGGGUGUUUGUCGUGGUGGGUGUGGAUUCGCAAUGGCGAUUUCUGAAUCAGGAAAGCUCAUCACGUGGGGCUCAACAGAUGAUCUAGGUCAAAGCUACCUGACUUCGGGGAAGCAUGGGGAAAUUCCGGAGCCCUUUCCUCUUCCUACUGAAGCUUCAAUAGUCACAGCUGCAGCGGGUUGGGCCCAUUGUGUCUCGGUUACAGACAGGGGAGAAGUCUACACGUGGGGUUGGAAAGAGUGUGUUCCCUCUGGAAAGGUGAUCGGAGAUUCGUCCACAGGCCCCAGCUUAGAGAAGGAUAUACUUGAAAGACAGAAUUCCAUGCUAACUGAACAAGUAAGCCCUAGGUCUCAAAGUCCAAGAUCAGCCACUGGAACAGUAUCUAGUUUUGACAAUAGAGGCAGUGGAGAGGAAAGUACAAAACGAAGAAGAAUAUCAUCAGCUAAACAAGCAGCUGAAAGUUCAACAUCGGGUGAUGAAACUCUCUCAGCAUUGCCAUGUCUUGUGGAUUUAAGUCCGAGAGUGAGGAUCACUACUGUUGCGGCGGGUGGACGACAUACAUUAGCAUUGUCAGUUUCAGAUAUAGGGCAAGUGUGGGGUUGGGGCUAUGGAGGCGAAGGGCAGCUAGGUUUGGGUUCUCGGAUCCGUAUGGUAUCCUCUCCUCAUCCCGUACCUUGCAUCGAGUCCUCUGGUUAUGGAAAAGACAGAUCUUCAACAGCUCCUCGUGGAAGUAUAAAUGCAGAGGGUCAAGUUUAUAAAAUUCCAGGAACUUAUGUGAAGGGAAUUGCCUGUGGAGGUCGACAUAGUGCUGUAAUAACAGAUGUUGGUGCUCUACUGACUUUUGGUUGGGGACUUUAUGGACAGGUUUCCGACCUAUUACUUUGUCAUCUUCCGACAAGUUGGUUGUCAAAUGUGACUAUUGUGGCAAGGAACAUCACACUAGGGAGAUUUGUUGGAAGCUUCAUAGACGUUGUGCCAACUCUAGCAGGAGUAGUCAGGGUCGUGGGAAGAACACCCAAGCAAAUCAGUCUGAGACUACAACUGAUUCUGAUAGCUCCACUACUACAAGUGCCUUGUUAUCUAUCGACGAAAUGGCCAUGCUUCGUCGUAUGUUGACUCAGAUGGGAUCCUCUAUUGCUACUGCUGCCUUCUCUUUACCAACUAUCACUGCCUCCCAUUUAGCACACUCGUGUACUAUAGUUUAUGGCCAUAGUGCAUCUGUGGCCCCCCAAUCCUGGAUAAUUGACUCUGGGGCUAUUGAUCACAUGACUGGUUUGCCCACCUUUUUUCUACCUAUUGUCCUUCAGGUAAUACUAAAGUUUGUGUUGUUGAUGGUUCCUUUUCACCUAUUGCUGGAUCGGGUUCCAUUCAGUGCUCUCCUUCAUUAUCAUUGUCUUCUGUGAUACAUGUUCCUAAGUUUUCUACUAAUUUACUGUCAAUUGGUAGUAUUACCAAGGAUAUGAACUGUAAAGUCACUUUCUUUCCUACUCAAUGUGUGAUUCAGGACUUGGUGACGGAGGCAAUGAUUGGCAAUGGUAAAAUGAGUGGUGGUCCUUAUUAUAUGGACAUUGGUCCCUCACAGGCUCUACAUACUUUAUCCGAUUUGGCACUCUCAAAACUUGUGGGUUGACAUUGGCAUCUGGGUCACCCCCCACGGGGCACUUUAUCUAGAUUAUUUCUGGCAUUAGUUAGACAUUGUUGCAUGGACAAGUUUGUUUGUGAUGCGUGUGUUUUGGCAAAACAAACUCGGAGUGUUUCUUUUCUUUCUGAUAAUAGAGGAACUGUAGGAAAAGGUGGAGAAAAAGCCCAAUAAAAUGUUCAAGAUGAGGUUCACUGGAAAAGGGAAUUUAUUUUUUCAACUUUUGGUUUGUGGCAUGUUCUUUCCCCUGUUGGUGAAGAUGUAACUCUCUUUUUAAUGGUGUCUUUUGUUCCAGUGUGGGCGUGGAAGUACAGAUGAUGAGUUGAGUCCAGCCUGUGUGUCAGCUCUCUUGGGUAUCCAGAUACAAGGAGUUGCAGCUGGACUGUGGCAUACAGUUUGCAUUUCUGUUGAAGGAGAUGUGUAUGCAUUUGGAGGGA
RNA transcript from Macadamia integrifolia, 2436 nucleotides. It is a transcript of the gene named ultraviolet-B receptor UVR8-like, with no coding region annotated. Lineage: Eukaryota; Viridiplantae; Streptophyta; Magnoliopsida; Proteales; Proteaceae. The record is from RefSeq and is a predicted model, not a curated record. The transcript is spliced from 9 exons.